Molecule: ribosomal RNA, 484 nt
Filed under: Pseudomonas sp. 'ARUP UnID 543'
Lineage: Bacteria; Pseudomonadati; Pseudomonadota; Gammaproteobacteria; Pseudomonadales; Pseudomonadaceae
Description: bacterial SSU rRNA
Rfam family: Bacterial small subunit ribosomal RNA
Source: RNAcentral
GAUUGAACGCUGGCGGCAGGCCUAACACAUGCAAGUCGAGCGGAUGAAGAGAGCUUGCUCUCUGAUUCAGCGGCGGACGGGUGAGUAAUGCCUAGGAAUCUGCCUGAUAGUGGGGGACAACGUUUCGAAAGGAACGCUAAUACCGCAUACGUCCUACGGGAGAAAGUGGGGGAUCUUCGGACCUCACGCUAUCAGAUGAGCCUAGGUCGGAUUAGCUAGUUGGUGGGGUAAUGGCCCACCAAGGCGACGAUCCGUAACUGGUCUGAGAGGAUGAUCAGUCACACUGGAACUGAGACACGGUCCAGACUCCUACGGGAGGCAGCAGUGGGGAAUAUUGGACAAUGGGCGAAAGCCUGAUCCAGCCAUGCCGCGUGUGUGAAGAAGGUCUUCGGAUUGUAAAGCACUUUAAGUUGGGAGGAAGGGCAGUAAAUUAAUACUUUGCUGUUUUGACGUUACCGACAGAAUAAGCACCGGCUAACUCUGU